RNAcentral lists this long non-coding RNA (402 nucleotides) under Setaria italica (foxtail millet). Its description in RNAcentral is "long non-coding RNA (SITA_LNC006617)". Lineage: Eukaryota; Viridiplantae; Streptophyta; Magnoliopsida; Poales; Poaceae. The record is from RNAcentral.
UUUCUCGCAGGUGGGCAAAUUAUGCGUGAAGAAUCUCUGAGAUUGGCAUCUACUUCUUGUCAACCUCUUCCAAACACCAUGUGCCAGGAAGAAUCAUACUGUGUUCAAUCUACUGGAGCAGUUGUGACUCUAAACUCUAGUGUUCAAUUGAUUUACUUUUUCUGCUCAAAGCUCCCAUCGGAUGAGUCUGUUUUCUAUCUUAGAUAAGGUUUUCUUUUGGUUCAUAUCAUGAAACAUUCUCUGGCGUAAAUACUAACAGAUUGUACUUCCAUAUGGCAGGUAUUUUAAACCUGUACCAAGAUUCAAUAUUGACAAGGCAUUGGGUACAUGUACCCUGCAUCUUCCAAAGAGCAGUCCUAUACAAACAAUUUAUGCAGAAGGAGAAGGUUCUGUUCUCAAGCG